AACGAACGCUGGCGGCAGGCUUAACACAUGCAAGUCGAGCGAGACCUUCGGGUCUAGCGGCGGACGGGUUAGUAACGCGUGGGAACGUGCCUCUCUCUACGGAAUAGUCCUGGGAAACUGGGUUUAAUACCGUAUACGCCCUCUGGGGAAAGGAUUUAUCGGAGAGAGAUCGGCCCGCGUUGGAUUAGGUAGUUGGUGGGGUAAGUGGCCUACCAAGCCUACGAUCCAUAGCUGGUUUUAGAGGAUGAUCAGCAACACUGGGACUGAGACACGGCCCAGACUCCUACGGGAGGCAGCAGUGGGGGAAUCUUAGACAAUGGGCGCAAGCCUGAUCUAGCCAUGCCGCGUGAGUGAUGAAGGCCUUAGGGUCGUAAAGACUCUUUCGUCCAGGGAGUGAUAAUAGACAGUACCUGGUAAAGAAACCCGGA
Molecule: ribosomal RNA, 428 nt
Filed under: uncultured bacterium
Lineage: Bacteria
Description: bacterial SSU rRNA
Rfam family: Bacterial small subunit ribosomal RNA
Source: RNAcentral